RNAcentral lists this long non-coding RNA (246 nucleotides) under Mytilus galloprovincialis (Mediterranean mussel). The record is from RNAcentral. Lineage: Eukaryota; Metazoa; Mollusca; Bivalvia; Mytilida; Mytilidae.
CUUAUUUUUGAGAAAUUGAGAUAAGACGUGGCACGGUACUUGUCUAUCCCAAAUUCAUGUAUUUGGUUUUCAUGUUAUAUUUGUUAUUCUCGUGGUGUUUUGUCUGAAGCUUGGUCCGUUUCUGUGUGUGUUACGUUUCGGUGUUAUGUCGUUGUUCUCCUCUUAUAUUUAAUGUGUUUCCCUCGGUUUUAGUUUGUUACCCCGAUUUUGUCUUUUGUCCAUGGAUUUAUGAGUUUUGAACAGCGG